AUGAAGAUGACGACUUGCAUUCGUAAGGUGGCCUCAAAGGAGUUUGGAGUGUCCAGGGGAAGGAGAAGCGAAGAUAAGGAUACCUGGUGGUGGAAUGAUGAUGUCCAGAAGGCGAUUAAAGAGAAGAAAGAUUGCUUUAGACGCCUAUACCUGGAUAUGAGUGCACACAACAUAGAGAAGUACAAGAUGGCAAAGAAGGCCGCAAAGCGAGCUGUUGGUGAAGCAAGGGGUCGGGCGUAUGAGGACCUCUACCAACGGUUAGGCACGAAGGAAGGCGAAAGGGACAUCUAUAAGAUGGCCAAGAUCCGAGAGAGGAAGACGAGGAAUAUUGGCCAAGUCAAAUGCAUCAAGGACGGAGCAGGCCAACUCUUGGUGAAGGACGAGGAGAUUAAGCAUAGAUGGCGGGAGUACUUCGACAAGCUGUUCAAUGGGGAGAAUGAAAGCUCUACCAUUGAACUGGACGACUCUUUUGAUGAGACCAGCAUGCGUUUUGUGCGUCGAAUUCAGGAGUCUAAGGUCAAGGAGGCUUUAAAAAGGAUGAAGGGAGGCAAGGCGAUGGGCCCGGAUUGUAUCCCCAUUGAGGUGUGGAAAGGUCUCGGGGACAUAGCGAUAGUAUGGCUAACCAGGCUUUUCAAUCUCAUUUUUCGGGCAAACAAGAUGCCAGAAGAAUGGAGACGGAGUAUAUUAGUACCAAUCUUCAAGAACAAGGGGGAUGUUCAGAGUUGUACUAAUUACCGUGGAAUUAAGCUGAUGAGCCAUACAAUGAAGCUAUGGCAGAGAGUCAUUGAGCACCGCUUAAGAAGAAUGACAAGCGUGACCAAAAACCAGUUUGGUUUCAUGCCUGGGAGGUCGACCAUGGAAGUCAUUUUCUUGGUACGACAGCUUAUGGAGAGAUAUAGGGAGCAAAAAAAGGACUUGCAUAUGGUGUUCAUUGACUUGGAGAAGGCCUAUGAUAAGAUACCGCGGAAUGUCAUGUGGUGGGCCUUAGAGAAACACAAAGUCCCAGCAAAGUACAUUACCCUCAUCAAGGACAUGUACGAUAAUGUUGUGACAAGUGUUCGAACAAGUGAUGUCGACACUGAUGACUUCCCGAUUAAGAUAUGA
Molecule: ribosomal RNA, 1104 nt
Filed under: Triticum aestivum (bread wheat)
Lineage: Eukaryota; Viridiplantae; Streptophyta; Magnoliopsida; Poales; Poaceae
Description: partial small subunit ribosomal RNA
Source: RNAcentral